This 439-nucleotide ribosomal RNA is filed under the name uncultured bacterium. RNAcentral describes it as "partial 16S ribosomal RNA". It matches the Rfam family "Bacterial small subunit ribosomal RNA", at positions 338 to 795 of the family's 1533-position model. The record is from RNAcentral.
CCUACGGGUGGCAGCAGUGGGGGAUAUUGCACAAUGGGCGAAACCCUGAUGCAGCGAUGCCGCGUGAAUGAAGACGGCCUUCGGGUUGUAAAGUUCUGUCGCAGGGGACGAAAAUGACGGUACCCUGCAAGAAAGCUCCGGCUAACUACGUACCAGCAGCCGCGGUAAUACGUAGGGAGCCAGCGUUGUCCGGAAUUACGGGGUGUAAAGGGGGCGUAGGCGGGAGGAUAAGUUGAAGGUGAAAUCUAUGGGCUCAACCCAGAGCUGCCUUCAAAACUGUUGUUCUUGAGUGUAGUAGAGGCAGGCGGAAUGCGUGGUGUAGCGGUGAAAUGCGUAGAUAUUACGAGGAACACCAGUGGCGAAGGCGGCCUGCUGGGGUGUUACUGACGCUGAGGCUCGAAAGCGUGGGUAGCGAACAGGAUUAGAUACCCGUGUAGUC